UCACUGCUUGCGCAGGCAGUCUCUUUAGAGUCCCCAUCAUAACAUGCUGGCAACAUACGACGGGGGUUGCGCUCGUUGCGGGACUUAACCCAACACCUCACGGCACGAGCUGACGACAGCCAUGCAGCACCUUGCUUUGUGUCCCGAAGGAAAGCUCCAUCUCUGGAGCGGUCACGCGCAUUCUAGCCUAGGUAAGGUUCUUCGCGUUGCUUCGAAUUAAACCACAUACUCCACCGCUUGUGCGGGCCCCCGUCAAUUCCUUUGAGUUUCAGUCUUGCGACCGUACUCCCCAGGCGGCGAACUUAACGCGUUAGCUUCGAUACUGCGUGCCAAAUUGCACCCAACAUCCAGUUCGCAUCGUUUAGGGCGUGGACUAC
RNAcentral lists this unclassified non-coding RNA (377 nucleotides) under uncultured bacterium. Its description in RNAcentral is "contains 16S-23S intergenic spacer region". The record is from RNAcentral.